GAGGCGGCCGCGGCGGGCGGCGCCCGGGAAGGGCGGCGGGGCCGGGGCCUGCGGCGGCCGGGGGAGGGGACCCGAGCGGAGCUGGUGGCCGAGGGAGCCCCGAGCUAGACCGGCGGCGGCGAGGCUGAGCGAGGGCAUCCCUGCCCCGCGCUGGACCCCGGGAGGCAAGAGGAAUUUCAAAGCAGACCAAGCAAUAAUAAUUUAGAAAUGGGGUAAGAUAUCUCAGAGUACAUCAUGAGAAACCCUGGGCUGGAAGAAGCACAAGCUGGAAUCAAGACUGCCGGGAG
This is a long non-coding RNA of Bubalus bubalis (water buffalo), 287 nucleotides long. RefSeq lists it as uncharacterized. The transcript has 3 exons. NCBI's taxonomy places the organism in Eukaryota, Metazoa, Chordata, Mammalia, Artiodactyla, Bovidae. The record is from RefSeq and is a predicted model, not a curated record.